This 460-nucleotide ribosomal RNA is filed under the name uncultured bacterium. Its description in RNAcentral is "partial 16S ribosomal RNA". It matches the Rfam family "Bacterial small subunit ribosomal RNA", at positions 338 to 795 of the family's 1533-position model. The record is from RNAcentral.
CCUACGGGUGGCAGCAGUGAGGAAUAUUGGUCAAUGGGCGGGAGCCUGAACCAGCCAAGUCGCGUGAGGGAAGACGGUCCUAUGGAUUGUAAACAUCUUUAGGCGGGGAGAAAUGCCGGGCACGCGUGCCGGGAGGGAGGGUACCCGCAGAAUAAGCAUCGGCUAACUCGGGGCCAGCAGCCGCGGUAAUACGGAGGAUGCGAGCGUUAUCCGGAUUUAGUGGGUUUAAAGGGUGCGUAGGCGGAUUUUUAAGUCAGCGGUAAAAUGUCCGGGCUCAACCCGGGCCGGCCGUUGAAACUGGGGAUCUUGAGUGGGCGAGAAGUAUGCGGAAUGCGUGGUGUAGCGGUGAAAUGCAUAGAUAUCACGCAGAACUCCGAUUGCGAAGGCAGCUUACUAAACUGCCACUGACAUUGAUGCUCGAAAGUGUGGGUAUCAAACAGGAUUAGAUACCCCAGUAGUC